This 468-nucleotide ribosomal RNA is filed under the name uncultured bacterium. Its description in RNAcentral is "partial 16S ribosomal RNA". It matches the Rfam family "Bacterial small subunit ribosomal RNA", at positions 28 to 507 of the family's 1533-position model. The record is from RNAcentral.
GACGAACGCUGGCGGCGGGCUUAACACAUGCAAGUCGAACGGAAAGGCCCUGCUUUUGUGGGGUGCUCGAGUGGCGAACGGGUGAGUAACACGUGAGUAACCUGCCCUUGACUUUGGGAUAACUUCAGGAAACUGGGGCUAAUACCGGAUAGGAGCUCCUGCUGCAUGGAGGGGGUUGGAAAGUUUCGGCGGUUGGGGAUGGACUCGCGGCUUAUCAGCUUGUUGGUUGGGUAGUGGCUUACCAAGGCUUUGACGGGUAGCCGGCCUGAGAGGGUGACCGGCCUCAUGGGGACUGAGAUACGGCCCAGACUGCUACGGGAGGCAGCAGGGGGGAAUAUUGCACAAUGGGCGGAAGCCUGAUGCAGCAACGCCGCGUGCGGGAUGACGGCCUUCGGGUUGUAAACCGCUUUCGCCUGUGACGAAGCGUGAGUGACGGUAAUGGGUAAAGAAGCACCGGCUAACUACGUG